AUGAGCACAUCUCCGAGGAGUCUCUUCGGACGAGGUUUUUUCUCUCUCUCCCGUCUCGAUGGAGUCGGCUACUCUUUCCCUCCCUUGCCCUGCCCUCCCCUAGCGGAGGCGACACACUCCUCUCAUCUAUCGCCCGGGGAUGCCCUGCCCUCCCGUGGGGAAUGGGAUCUGGUGGCGCCCUUCGAACGUCGAGAGGUGGCACAACCCGCCACACACUUGUCCCCCCUCCUCAGGAUCCUCAAUUUCUCAUCUAAAAGGUUUUGUCUGCGUGCGCGUGCCUCUGGUUUCAUUCAUGAAUUAAUCUUAUCUGGAAGUGUGGUGAUCGUGCAUGUCUGUUUGUGUUCUAAGGCAUUCAACUUGCUUCUUGUGCAGGUUUAUGUGGAUGGAACUACCACCAUAUCCACCCAGCCUUUUGGUUUGAUCUUGUGA
Molecule: ribosomal RNA, 429 nt
Filed under: Triticum aestivum (bread wheat)
Lineage: Eukaryota; Viridiplantae; Streptophyta; Magnoliopsida; Poales; Poaceae
Description: partial small subunit ribosomal RNA
Source: RNAcentral